This 69-nucleotide transfer RNA is filed under the name Prosaspicera validispina. Its description in RNAcentral is "tRNA-Cys". The record is from RNAcentral. Lineage: Eukaryota; Metazoa; Arthropoda; Insecta; Hymenoptera; Figitidae.
AGUUUAAUAGUUUAAAAAAAAAUAUUAAAUUGCAAAUUUAAAGAUAUAAAAAAAAUUUUAGUUAGACUU